This is a long non-coding RNA of Cavia porcellus (domestic guinea pig), 5887 nucleotides long. RefSeq lists it as uncharacterized. Lineage: Eukaryota; Metazoa; Chordata; Mammalia; Rodentia; Caviidae. The transcript is spliced from 3 exons. The record is from RefSeq and is a predicted model, not a curated record.
CGAGCCGCAAAACGCAAUAGUCCGCGCCGGCCGCGCGCUCGCCGCCCGCAUCCCUCGUGCGGCCUUCGGGCCUUUCUUCCCGGGGCUGGCGAGCACGCGCCCGCCUAGGAAAUUGCAACAGAUGGAAAAGAGGACGCCCCCUCCUCCCCCCUCCUCCCCGGGGAGGAAAAGCCUCUUGCUUUUUGACAGCUGCCCCAACUACACCACCGAGCCCGCUCCCGCCGCCGGAGACAGCGGGCUGGUGAUUCAAGGGGCGGGGCGCGAGAGGAAAGUAUUCGGGACAAGAAGCAACUUCUCCCGGACGCGCGGCUGCCCGGCACACGCGGGCGCGGCGCGGCGCACCCUCUCCUCCGGGGCUCUUCCUCCCACGGCCACCGUGGGGGCUGGGUGGGGAGGGUGGGGGUACGAGACGGAGACACCCAGGGCGAAUGUCUGUCUGCCGCUGCCGGGGGCUAGAGCUGCGAGUUCCGGAUUGGAUUGCAUGGCAGUUUCGAAAUCGAACACGUUGCGCAGACACUUGUCACGCUCACAUGCUCUUUAAACGUCUCGGCUCGGGGACGGCCCGAGCACGAGCCCGCCCCGCCGCGACCCCUCCACCCCCGGACCCCGACAGCUGCGGCCUCCAGACGAACGGGGCGACCGCGCCGUGCCUGCUCAUCCGUUUCGGUAAACAGUGCCUACUUUUAGGACUCGAACGCCGCCAGGGGACACCCCCUCCCCUUGUGUAUUUAAAACAGAAACUAGCGUGAGGUCAACACGCGUCGGUUUAUUUCGGGCGAAACCCGCUCUUUUAAAAGACCCGGUGCCGCGGGGGCUGAUUCCAAAACACGCGUGCCCCUCCCCCGCGUCUGCCUUUCGCGUGGGUAGGGCUUGUUUUGAAGCAAAGCAAAAGAGCUGUCUUGCGCCAGAGAAAAACUUCCCGCAACACGAAAGAAAGAGAAAGAAGCCCAAACGUAAAGAAGCCCAGACGCAAGUCCGCGCCCCAGUCCUCUCCGGUUUCGGCGCUGGGCUGUUUUGUUUUGCAACCUGGAUGGAGACCUCGGCAGCAGGAAGCUGCAGGAAAAGAAAGUUAAACCUGGGGAAGAACAGGAACUAGACUUUGAGUCUCCAUAUAGGAUCACCCUGAAAAUUAAAGCCAGCCCGCCCCUCGCCGAGUGUGCGUGGAGGCCAGAGUUGAAAAAGCUCGGGUGGGUUUUCCAGUGACCAGGGCUUCAAAUGAAUCAGCAAGGGAAAAAGCGUCACUAAGCUGGCAGCAACCUUAGGGCUUUUUUUUUUUUUUUUUCCUUCUGCGGUUUUUGCCGAUCGCUCGGCAGCCACCGACGAGAACGCACACAUCUGAAACGAGCCCGCGGGGCUGGGGCGGGGGCCACGGUCCCGGCGGAGGUGAAUCAGUGCCGCGCCGGGGAGCCGGAGAGGGGCGCGCGUCCCCGCCGCCCGUUGGAGGCCGCCUGGCUCCGGCAUUUGAAGGGUUGUUUGUUGCUGGGAUUGGUGGCUCGCCUCCGCCGGGGAGCCGGGAGAGGAGGAGGAGAGACGCAGGGAGGAGGAGCCGCGGGGCCCGCGACGCUGAGACUCCGCGGUCUGAGUGGCUGCAGCCGCGUCUGGGUCGGCGCGGUUACUGCGGAGACGCUUUGUUUGCUAACUUCGAAGGCGGCCUCCCUGCCUCGGCCGCUUUUGGGGCCGCUGCCCAACACGCCUCGGGGCCGGUUUAACCCUGCCCCUGCCCGGGACAGAACUGUUUCCUUCUUCCCGGUACUGCAGCUUGGCCACGCGGUGGCUCUCAUGAUGUGCACAAAGAUAGCUUUGCUUUCGGCCGCACAGACUUGGCUAAAUGAAUGCAAGUCUCGGGCGACAAGGAUGGAAACCUAGAGAGCGAGCACUUACUUUACAGCUUGAGAACAAACUUUACCACGCUAGGGGGAGGGGUGGAGAAAAUUAAAAGCCUCUUUCAUAGUAGGAGGAGGGAAAAGUGCAGACUGAAACUCGGCUGGAGGGCCGGCUGGAUCCGGCCCAUACACACCUUCUGCCCAGGCAGAUCAUACCGAGGCAAUUAUUAAGCUAGCAGGAGGCUGCAGAAAGCAACACAAGCGAAUUCUGUGUUGCACCAGGAGCCUCAGAGGCCUCGGAGUAGAUGCUACCGCACCCUGGCCCCAGGGCCAGGUGCCAAACCCGGCUGCAACUCUCCACUGCUGGUGCAUUCUGGGAAGAAAGUGCCUGGAGUCUUCAAAAUCAGCUCCGAGUUGGGAUCUAGUUGGGUUUUUUGCGUGUGGUUUUGUUUUGUUUGAGACAGGAUUUUGCUCUGUAGUCCAGGAUGGCCUGGAACUCACUGUGUAGCCCAAACUGGCCUCCAACUCACAGGGAUCCUCCUGUGUCAGCCUUCCUACUGCUGGGAUAACAGGCAUGGGCCACCACGCCCUGCUAGGAUCUAUUUUGUUUAUUGCUUUUCUCAAGGUGGAAAAACAAGUUUCAGUUCUGACUCUGUCAGACCGUUAAUGUCUCAGGGCCUCUCCUUAACACAGAUUUAAAAGACAUUUAAGAUUUUUUUUCCCCCAGUGUUUUAAAGGAAAAUUGUACGGACUCCCAUUUACUGCCUGUUGUCUGCCGAAUUCAGAUGAACCUUAGCUGAAUUCAACACAGAGGCGAGUGAUGAUAAACGUUCUUGCCCAUUAUCUUUUCCUUUCUCCAUUUGGCGUCUUUAUCUUCUGAAACUGUCUCAAGGCCAGGCAAAGAAACAACGUUGCUAUACAGUGACUUUUCAGAAAACUCAGACAGAAACUUGGAAAGGCACAGAGGCCCGACGUUAAUAAAUGCAGCCGUUAUUAUUUUGGACCCCAGGCCCGUCCAAUGGCUGGAAGCCGUAUUUAUUUCCGCUCUGCUGCUCAGCUUUCCAUUUGGGUGCCACAAGCUUAGGCUUCUAGUGUCAGGGCAGGCAAAGAUUUCUAGGCGACACACAGAGGGCUGGGCUCCAAAGGCUGGACAAAGGGCAGGUAGUCAUCUGGACACCUGUUGGAUGAGAGAGGUUGACUGUCUGUCCGUGGUCCCUUCAAGGACCUGGGUCCAGGCCAGGCCGUCUAUGGCGACUUCACAAUGUCAUUGGGGAUAAUUCUCCCCUGGACAGCACAAGAGUGGGACUAGUGCUUCAGCUCCUGUUUUGGGUCAUAUUUCUGUGGUCUGCUCUUUCCUCCUUCCCUUCUUUCUCCUCCCUAAAAGACGUCGCUUCGCUACCUAGGUAUGUGUUGGAAUCCAGGAGACAAGCAAACAAAACAGAACAGACAGAACAUGAAUGCCUGGAGCCUUGGCCUCCUUUAUUCCUAGCCUCCUGGGUCUUCACUGUGCUAUAUAGUUCAUGAGACAGUUACUUAAAUGACCUUGCUUCAUACCCACCCUGGCCAUGCACAUUAUUACUAUAUUUUUUGAAAUUUAAAUAACGCAGUCAUAUGUAACAGCGAAAAGGCAAAAGUCAGGCCUGGGGCCCCCAUGCAUCCCAUCCCCCCUCAAGUGAUCUCAGGGAAGUGCUGUGCUUUAGGAAGCUGGCGUGGCACAGGCAGACACUGACCUCUGACGGCUUCACCAGGGGACCCAGUGGCCUGACGCCUGCUGGACAGGCGCUGCCCCGCUGAGCUAGGCCCUGGCCAGCUCCCCUGCCCAUCUGCUUUGCAGGAGUUGGAGUCCUGCAAGUUUGUUCAUUUGCCUGGCUGAAAUCACGCCCCACCCCGCCCCAGCCCUGAUGGAACAGUAAUGAGGUUUUCAAGCUCACUUUUUCAUUUAUGGAGCAUUUCUCCUAGCGAUGAGCAGGGAAUAUAGCUCCAAGCUGUGGAUGGUGCAGUUGGACUGGGACUAUUUGAAUAAGUGGAAAAUGGGGGUCAAGUGAAAGGAGCUGCUAACCCCCGGGGGGGGGGGGCUGCACCUGCGCCAGGGUCAGCUCAGGUGAGAUCUUUUGGGGCCCAGGGAGUAUAUUUGGGUCUGAGAGAUAGAAUACCUAGGUCAAAAGGAAUGUGUGUGUGUGUGUGUGUGUGUGUGUGUGUGUGUGUGUGUGCUUUCAAAAUUUUGACAGAUACUGCCAAAUUACCUCCUGUUAUGGUUCAAAUAUGAAGUGUACCCUAAAGCCCCAUGUAUUAAGGGCAUGAUCUUGACAAGUGUGGUGGUGCAAGCCUGUAAUCUCAGCACUCAGGAGGCUGAGGCAGGAGGAUCACCAAAGCCUGUUGGAACUUUCUAUUGAGACCCUGUCAAAAACAACAAAACAAAACAAAAAGGGGGGCGUCACUGAUGAUAAUCUAGUGCCAUUCUCCACUGAAUGGCCUGCAAGAGGCAGCAGCUGGAGGAAGUGUCUUGAAGGGUUUAUCUUGUCCUGGCCCCUUCCCCGCCUGCCCUCCACCCUCUGUUUUUUGUUGUUGUUGUUGUUUUUUUUUUCUUUUCCCUUUUUAUCCAUACGCUUAUGCGCUGAGCUAAGUCCCCAGCCCCUUUGUUUCUAUGUUGCAGUGGGACCAGUAGCUUCCUCACCAAGCCUGUCUGCUUAGGCCCCCCCCCCCCCCCACUGACCGGGGCUGGAACCUGGCAGAAAAAUCAAGUCUUGUUCUGGUUAAGGGUUUAUGUCAGAAUUGUCACAGCCAGGGCUGGGGAUUUAGCUCAGUGCUUAAGUGCCUGCCUGGCAAGCUCGAGAUCAGGACUUCCAUUCCCAGCACCAAAAAAAAAAAAAAAACAAAAAACAAUUGUCACAGCCUUGAAAUUUGUCACAGCCUCCAAGUGAGCUUACCUACUGAGACCUCCAAGAAAUGUGCUUGAAAAGACCUGGUGGCACUGCGUAGUGUUGGUUUCCAGUUGGGCUGUCCAAGGCAAACCAAUAGCACCUAAGGAACCUGGAAUACAAGCCCUCUGCGCGGUUUGAGGCUCGGUCCACCAAAGGCUCCUCUCUCUUCCACAUGAGCAGCGUCUGGAAAGGAGCUUUCCCUUCAAUACGGUGCAGACAGGAUCUUACCACGUAGCCCAGUCUGGCUUCCAUCUCAUGGAAGUCUCCUGCAUCAGCCUCCCAAAUGCUGGGACUAUAGGAGCGUGCCACCACGACCCAGUGUUUGGCAGCUCUUGAGGAAGACGAAGUUUGUAGUUUUCUCCAGAGUUAAUUUAGAGGCAAAAUCUGGUUAACAGGUGGGGUUUGGGGGUGGUUGUUUGUUUGUUUGUUUUGGUACCUAGGGGACCAAACUCACAACCUCACAUUUGCCAGGCUGGCGCUUGUGCUGCUCAGCUAAAUCCCUGGCCCUAACACGGUUUGAAGAGAUAAAAAGAAUCGGUUCACUGAAUGAGAAAAAAAACCUCACGUGCUGUGCCAGUGGAGGCCAACUUUCCACUCGGUGCUUCGUGUUGCAAAGCCCUAGAUCCCCAGAGCUCAGUGUCUGCCCAGGCAGCUGCCCCCAGUUUUUCCUGCUGCUUGUGCUGCAGGACAGGACAGUAUCGUGUAACCCUGGUGACACAAGGAACCCAUGGUGUCCGCUCGCCCCGCCGUGUUAGCUGCUUCAGUUUCUGUGCACACUGCACAGGUCAAAGAGGAGAGUUUCGUGGAUGCUUGAUUUCUCAGGAUCAGUGAGUGUCCUCACAGAGAGUAGCCCUGCAGUGAAGACACUGCCCAGUACUGGGGCAAGGGCACCUCCUGCACCAGCGAGGCAGGGCAGUGGUCUUAGGUUGCUGCUUCUGCAUGGCACUUCACUUGGUGAGACGGCUCAGUCUCCAUGGGGCCGGGUGCUGCUCCUCCAAAGCUUUGCAUGAAUGCAGUGUCACUCUGGGGACAGUGCUGACAGGGCGGGAGUAAAGAACAAACCUGGAGCUGCCGACUGUCACUGGCUUUUUGGUAUGUGUGGUAAAACAUGCUAUGUAAAAUAAAGCAUUGUGAUUUUUUUUC